UACGGGGGGGGCAAGCGUUGUUCGGAAUUACUGGGCGUAAAGGGCGCGUAGGCGGCGUGGUAAGUCACUUGUGAAAUCUCUGAGCUUAACUCAGAACGGCCAAGUGAUACUGCUGUGCUAGAGUGCAGAAGGGGCAAUCGGAAUUCUUGGUGUAGCGGUGAAAUGCGUAGAUAUCAAGAGGAACACCUGAGGUGAAGACGGGUUGCUGGGCUGACACUGACGCUGAUGCGCGAAAGCCAGGGGAGCAAACGGG
Molecule: ribosomal RNA, 253 nt
Filed under: uncultured bacterium
Lineage: Bacteria
Description: partial 16S ribosomal RNA
Rfam family: Bacterial small subunit ribosomal RNA
Source: RNAcentral